RNAcentral lists this ribosomal RNA (253 nucleotides) under uncultured bacterium. Its description in RNAcentral is "partial 16S ribosomal RNA". It matches the Rfam family "Bacterial small subunit ribosomal RNA", at positions 524 to 776 of the family's 1533-position model. The record is from RNAcentral.
UACGUAGGGGGCAAGCGUUGUCCGGAUUCAUUGGGCGUAAAGAGCGUGUAGGCGGCCAGGUAGGUCGGUUGUGAAAACUGGAGGCUCAACCUUCAGACGUCGACCCAAACCCCCUGGCUAGAGUCCGGAAGAGGAGAGUGGAAUUCCUGGUGUAGCGGUGAAAUGCGCAGAUAUCGAGAGGAACACCGGUGGCGAAGGCGGCCAACUGGACGAAUACUGACGCUGAGACACGAAAGCGUGGGGAGCAAACAGG